AUGCUACAACAUGCUUGUUAUUCUGAUGCCCAUGUUCUUGGGGUUUCUUUUACUUCCAAAGUAUCUGGGAAUGUCUGGUCAUUAUAUAACAUCUAUGGGCCAUGCCAAGGCAAUGACCGUGUUCUUUUCACUAAUUGGUUAUAUGAUCUGGAUAUCCCAGACUCUGAAGAUUGGUUGCUCGUGGGUGAUUAUAACUUUAUACAGUCCUCUGAGAAUAGAAAUAAGGCAGGGGAUUUAAACGACAUUCUAAUGUUCAAUGACAUAAUCCGGGCACAAGCCCUAGUUGAAAUACCCCUCAAAGGCCGCUCUUACACAUGGAGCAAUAUGCAGGAUGACCCGCUCCUUGAACAACUCGAUUGGUUCUUCUCAUAUUGCCAUUGGACUCAAACCUUCCCA
Molecule: ribosomal RNA, 396 nt
Filed under: Triticum aestivum (bread wheat)
Lineage: Eukaryota; Viridiplantae; Streptophyta; Magnoliopsida; Poales; Poaceae
Description: partial small subunit ribosomal RNA
Source: RNAcentral